GACGAACGCUGGCGGCGUGCUUAACACAUGCAAGUCGAACGGUGAACGAGGGAGCUUGCUCCCUCCGGAUCAGUGGCGAACGGGUGAGUAACACGUGAGCAAUCUGCCCCGAACUCUGGGAUAAGCGUUGGAAACGACGUCUAAUACCGGAUACGACGCUGGAGGGCAUCCUCUCCGCGUGGAUAGCACUUCGGUUCGGGAUGGGCUCGCGGCCUAUCAGCUUGUUGGUGGGGUAACGGCUCACCAAGGCGACGACGGGUAGCCGGCCUGAGAGGGUGACCGGCCACACUGGGACUGAGACACGGCCCAGACUCCUACGGGAGGCAGCAGUGGGGAAUAUUGCACAAUGGGCGCAAGCCUGAUGCAGCAACGCCGCGUGAGGGACGACGGCCUUCGGGUUGUAAACCGCUUUUAGCAGGGAAGAAGCGAAAGUGACGGUACCUGCAGAAAAAGCACCGGCUAACUACGUG
RNAcentral lists this ribosomal RNA (470 nucleotides) under uncultured bacterium. RNAcentral describes it as "partial 16S ribosomal RNA". It matches the Rfam family "Bacterial small subunit ribosomal RNA", at positions 28 to 507 of the family's 1533-position model. The record is from RNAcentral.